CAAUAGCGUAUAUUAAAGUUGUUGCAGUUAGAACGCUCGUAGUCGGAUUUCGGGGCGGGCCGACCGGUCUGCCGAUGGGUAUGCACUGGUCGGCGCGUCCUUCCUUCCGGAGACCGUCCCUACUCUUAACUGAGCGGGGGCGGGAGACGGGACUUUUACUUUGAAAAAAUCAGAGUGUUUCAAGCAGGCAGCUCGCUCUUGCAUGGAUUAGCAUGGGAUAAUGAAAUAGGACUUUGGUGCUAUUUUGUUGGUUUCGAACACCGAAGUAAUGAUGAGAAGGGACAGUCAGGGGCACUCGUAUUCCGCCGAGAGAGGUGAAAUUCUCAGGCCAGCGGAAGACGAACCACUGCGAAAGCAUUUGCCAGGGAUGUUUUCACUGA
Molecule: ribosomal RNA, 380 nt
Filed under: uncultured eukaryote
Lineage: Eukaryota
Description: partial 18S ribosomal RNA
Rfam family: Eukaryotic small subunit ribosomal RNA
Source: RNAcentral